Molecule: transfer RNA, 64 nt
Filed under: Apatania zonella
Lineage: Eukaryota; Metazoa; Arthropoda; Insecta; Trichoptera; Apataniidae
Also listed under: 4 other names
Description: tRNA-Glu
Source: RNAcentral
GCUUAUAUAGUUUAAAAAAAACAUUAUAUUUUCAUUAUAAAAAUAAAAUUAUUUUUUAUAGGUU